CGGGGGAGGCGGGAUCCUGCGCUGUGUCCCGGCGCCCUGUGCUCCCGGGCCUGCGCUGGUGGAUUCGCGCUCCCGGGCCGCGCAGCCUCCU
RNAcentral lists this microRNA precursor (91 nucleotides) under Canis lupus familiaris (dog). RNAcentral's name for it is "mir-8799 microRNA precursor family". It matches the Rfam family "mir-8799 microRNA precursor family". Lineage: Eukaryota; Metazoa; Chordata; Mammalia; Carnivora; Canidae. The record is from Rfam by way of RNAcentral.